AUGGGGAGGACACAUGGGUUCACCUGUACCCCUGCAGGGCCCUGUGGCCCCUUCUCCCUUUACUGCAGGCUCUUGGGUAUAUGUAGCUUCCAUUGCUUGCCAUUGUUUCCUCCUUGCAGGGGAUUCGUGGUGGUCGGGGCAUUGGCAUCACCCUAUGGAACAGCCCUUGUGAUGCAAGGCUUGGGAGGGAGCUCCUCCCAUUGGUCUGAACUGGGGAAGGCCCAGCUCCCACCUCGUGCUGGGUGUCCCAGUCGCUGGGUGACCAUCCUCAGACCCAGCGCUGUCACCAGGAGCAGAGCAUCGCCCUUCACACACCAUUACUCCUCACCCCCAGAGCCUUUUCAUCUCUUAUCAGCCGUGACCCUCGGGCUCUGUUAUCUCCCCCCAGCCAUCCACCGAAGCCUUAGAGCUGUCAGCAUGGGGAAUGACCUUCACCUCCUCACUCACCUCCAGGAGAUGCUGUGUCCGCUCGGCCGGGCGCAUGGUUGGCUGCAGCAGCACUGCCUGCUGCCCGGAGCCAGGCGGGCAGCCCUGCAGAUGAAGAUGUCUCCUGAGCAGCACGUUGGACCUGAACGCGUGUUUGCGUGGUUCCCCUGCCACCAGCACAACGGGAGCUACACGGCGGCCAGCCAUGCAGAGCCAACAAGAAAAGCCUGCUGAAGAAAGGCACCGGCGAUGACAAUACCCGUUUGCAGGACGGAUUAAAGCUCAGAGCAGCGUCUGGGCUUUGUGCAGGGGCGGCUCUGAGCACGAAGCGUGGUGGCAGGAGGCUACAAAAGCCGGGAUCCCACACAGCCCCAUUGUCAGCAGUGCUAACCCAGCCCAUGCAAGGCUCAGUCCCCAUCGCUGCCAGGACCUGCUGCCCUGCCCUCUCCCAGUGCCCUGCUCGUGCCACCUUGCCUCCCUGCUGCUCAGCCCCAUGCUGAGUGGAACCCACCCCCCUGUGCCAAGUGUUAAAUACUUAUCAAGCUAAUACAGCGUCUUCGCGGAGGUGCGUACAUGAGACAACAUGUUACCGUAAUUAACAAGCAGCUGGAGUUGGCAUCGUGCUGCAGCUGCUGGCGGCGGCUCCCAGUGCCUUUCCCAGGGCUGCAGCUCUGCCCCAUCCAACAGCAGGGGAAUGCUGAGGCGGGGGGAAUGCCUUGCAGGUCCCUUUCUACCACGCAGGAGGUGGUGAUGGCUUUCAGCCUGGGAUCUGCAUAGCCAUGGAGGUCUGGGACUAUUUCUGGGUUGGGUAAAUGGGUCCAUUCCCAGCAGGCAAAUGCUUACACAAGGGGUGAGGAGCCGUUGUGGGGGGCACUGAGUUGGGAGCUGUAUGGAAUCCUGCUGCUGGAGUCUCUGGGGGUGGUGGCUUGUCCACCUGGCCAUGGAAUCACAGUGCUGGGGCAGUGAUGGUCAAGUGCCACUGGAUCUGUGUGAUAGGUGUCAGGGACCAGUGGUGGCACCGGUGCUGGAGAGAACUUGGGAGAAAGAGAGAGUGGCUGUGAUGGGACUGUAAACCCAGCCCUGGGGAUGAAGGUGGCAGAGUGGGGUUGGUGGGGGUCAUUUAUUUGGUCAGACUUACUGAGAUGAUGUAGAUCCAUCCCUCUGCUCAGCCCUAUGCAGAUCUGCUGCACAAAACCUCCCCAUCCUUUUGAAUUGCCUUGAGCUCCCUAGCUUUCCAGCCCCAGAGAAGUCAUCUCAGCAGUUGAUGUUUGUAUGAUGACCUACAUUGCUAUUGGGUUUUAAAUAUAUAUAUUUUUACUGCACUGUAUGCUAGCUUCCCACAUGCAAAUUGCUCUGAGUGAGCCAUUUAUCUGGAAAAUAAAGGUUAUGUUCUCAAAAGGCA
RNAcentral lists this long non-coding RNA (1828 nucleotides) under Phasianus colchicus (ring-necked pheasant). RNAcentral's name for it is "lncRNA (ENSPCLG00000013180.1)". Lineage: Eukaryota; Metazoa; Chordata; Aves; Galliformes; Phasianidae. The record is from RNAcentral.